UCUAUCUGCAUCCCCUGUUCCGUUGCCUCGCCUCCUCUCUGCAUCCCCUCCUACUCUACUCUAUCCACAGCAGUUCCCCUCCCCCCUCCUCGCCGACGGCUCCUCCCUCGCGGCAGCGCCCAGUACGGCGAGACGCCGGGGCCGCACGAGCAGCUACUCUGCCGUUCCCCUCCCCCUCCUCGCCAGCGGCUCCUCCCUCGCGGCAACGCCCAGUACGGCGAGACGGCGAGGCCGCACGAACCCGGCGUAACCCUAGGGCUCCACCUGGUCCCAUCUUCCCCCGCCGCCUCACUCCGGAGAAGAGGAAUCCGCCGGCGGCCUCGAGAUCUCCAGGCGGCUCUUCUUCGACGGUUCAUCCUUUUGCUGGACCGAUGCCGAGGGAAACUACUUCGCAUUGCGUGGAUCGAAGAUUCCGUCAACCAAAACUGGGAUGAACAUCAAGUAGCAGCCUCUGUAUCACUGCAAUCUGACAAAGUGGAGGGCCUAGAAGGUACAGUACUCUGACGGAGUACCUUCUUCAGAGUGCAAAGGAGCAAAAUUGUUCUAAUCAGCAGCAGCACAGCACAGUCACUUGGAUCAGCGGAAGAGGAGCAUCAGCAGCACGGGCAGAGGAGCAACAACAGCUAGUUCUUCAGGUACAAUGGAAAACAAGCAAGCUUAUAUCUGAAAAACGAGUUAGCUAGGCUCAGAAUUUUGAGUUGGCCCCUUCACAUAAGUUUUAGAUAAAGUUUCAAGGUUUCUUUAGAGUAUUUAUUUGUGUCGUUUGGAUGUACGGUUUGAGAGCAGCUAUCAGUUUAGUUUGCUGUCCCGAAAUAUAUGUUCCUGGGUACAGUAUUUUGAUAUGGGAGAUUAGGCCCUGUUAGAGGUGGUAUUAAAAUAAAGUUACAACAUGAAAAUUUUAGAGGUUGUUCUGUAGAUACUUAAAACACAUAUCACUUGUCAGGUUUCGUUCGGUAUAUUAAACCCUAUGAAAUUAUCAAAGUGGGCUGUACUAUGUUGGACAGAAUUUUAUGUUUGGACUUGGGUGAAUGUAACCAGACUUAUACUCUCAGAUUUUGUCAUAGUUGAUGGUGUGAGGACUUAUAAUGUGAUAAAGUAUAUACGUUGUUGCAACACCUA
This is a long non-coding RNA of Hordeum vulgare subsp. vulgare (domesticated barley), 1119 nucleotides long. RefSeq lists it as uncharacterized. Lineage: Eukaryota; Viridiplantae; Streptophyta; Magnoliopsida; Poales; Poaceae. The record is from RefSeq and is a predicted model, not a curated record. The transcript has 4 exons.